AUUGAACGCUGGCGGCAGGCCUAACACAUGCAAGUCGAACGAGGGGCGGACGGGUGAGUAAUGUCUGGGAAACUGCCUGAUGGAGGGGGAUAACUACUGGAAACGGUAGCUAAUACCGCAUACCAUCAGAUGUGCCCAGAUGGGAUUAGCUUGUUGGGGGGGUAACGGCUCACCAAGGCGACGAUCCCUAGCUGGUCUGAGAGGAUGACCAGCCACACUGGAACUGGGCCACGGUCCAGACUCGCACCGUCGGCAGCAGUGGGGAAUAUUGAACAAUGGGCGCAAUCCUGAUGCAGCCAUGCCGCGUGUAUGAAGAAGGCCGUCGGGUUGUAAAGUACUUUCAGCGGGGAGGCGUUACCCGCAGAAGAAGCACCGGCUAACUCCGAUCCAGCAGCCGCGGUAAUAC
This 406-nucleotide ribosomal RNA is filed under the name uncultured bacterium. RNAcentral's name for it is "partial 16S ribosomal RNA". It matches the Rfam family "Bacterial small subunit ribosomal RNA", at positions 30 to 526 of the family's 1533-position model. The record is from RNAcentral.